GAUGUAAUGGGUAGUUGCAUAGUAAUAGGCCACAAUUACGCGCGUAGAGCGCGAAAGUUCCCUUCCGAUCAAAGUAGCCGAUCGGCUCGCGGCUAUCGCUUUAAAUGCGGGGUCGUGAGUCAACGGCCAAGGCGAUUCGACUUUUUUAUUAAUUAUUCCGGUCUAUUAGAAAAAUGCUAACUCGCUCCGAGCAACCGAGUUAAUUCCGAGUUAAUUCCGAGUUAAUGUACGCUCAAUUUCCCAUUUCUCAUUUUUUUUUUAUGCGGGCACCACGACCCCCAUGGGGUAACACCCUAAUUACGGCGGAUGGACGCGGCGGCGGCGGCGGCGGCGGUUCCGUUCGUCGCGGACGGCCGAGGCAGGAAAAGCAGCGCCUUGAAGAAGUGUCUUAACGAGUGUAUCUUUCGCGUACAGGCCGGAGCGGAGGGCAUAAUGAAUCAAUCUUAACGCUUGUAACGGCGCGCACAUCGACGCACGCCGGCGAAGGCGAAGCCGAAACAGUCUUGAUGAGAUAAUGGGCACUUCGAUUGUAAUUGGCCACAUUCACGCGCGUAGCAUGAAAUUUUUCAGCCUGCACGAGCCUUGCCUGCCUGCCUGCCGGCCGGCCGGCCGGCCGACCGACCAGAGCCAGCUCGCUCGCUACUGCUGAUGGUCUCGAUGCGGGAGGGUCAUAGUUCAGAGGUCCAAAGCGGGGGUCUUCCGCACACACGUCUUCCAUAUUAAGCGGCUCACUUUCACGCACCGCCAGGAUGCUCGGGAUAAGCGAAAUGCAAUUACCGUUGUAAAAAAGCCAGGCGUCGUUGCUUCGGCGUAACAGAUGUGAGGAUUGCGUUUCGAAAAAUUGCUCGGAAGAACUGCCGACGUCUCUUGUCAGAGAUCGUUAUAUUACUUUAACGAACAGUGAUUCGCAAUAAUUAUUAAUUAAAGACUUUGCCUCUUGUGUAAGUUGUCAUAUCUAAUUAAAUUUUUAACAGCGCUAUUUCGGAAGCUUGUAAAUAUAUAAGGUACUUAGAUCCAAUUUGAUUCACUCCCCUCUCCCUCCGCCUUUCAUUUUCAAAUACACAACAAAUUUUAGAGAUAACGUUAAUAUAUCGCACAGGAAGUUGAUACGAUGUAUUUGUGUUAGUUAACUGGUCAAUAUCUGCUUUUUACGGCUUGUAAUCGUUUUGCUUCGUAUAACUAUCACGCAACAAUUAUAAAUAUCCACAAUUCAUAUUAUUGUAGCUCUUUAAUUAUGCUUCUUAACAUUAUAUUUACUUUACAUUUUUAUUGAAACAUGUUUAUAAUUAAAGAAAGAAACUCUUUGUAUGAUGAAAAUAUUAUGGCUAGAAAUACUACUGGAAACACAAUAUAUCUUAUUAUCAGACAAAAGUUAAUAUUCUGUUUUUUUAAUGUUUAACUUUUGAUUAUUAGUAUUUCUUGCCUUUUUUCAGUUGGAGUUUUUUAACAGAUAAAAGUUAAGAUAAUGUCUCGUAGCAAAUAAACAUGGUUUUAUAUUAAAUAAUUUUUUCCAUAAGUAUGUUAAUGUUACACUAAACAUGUUGAUUUUUUAUUUCGCAUUUUUUCAAAAAUAUUUAUGAAAAAGAUAAAUAUAUAACUGUGCCAUAUUGAAUAGUAACACUAAAUACAAUCUUAUUUUUAAAUCUUUAAUAUACCUAUAUAAAUAAUAAAAAAUGUUUUAUUAAUUUUUUUAUAUCUUUGAAAUUAUCGACAUGUUUUUUAUUUUAAAUCUGACAAUUAGUUUUCAGUAUUUAUUUAAAAAAUUAAGAAAUUCUUAAAGCUAAGUGGACCAUAUGUACUGGUACUUUGUAUUUUUAAUAUUCUUUUGUACUUCAACGUUAAAGUCACGCACGCAAAGACCAUUGACAUAUUUGGAUGAUUUUAUUCGUCACGCACAAAGCAUUAAAAACACGCGUCAAUUUUUCUAUUGAUGGUAUUUAUCCGUUUCUUUAAACGACGGGAAUAUGUUUCGCCUUAAGAGAAAGUCCGUUAAUAAAGUCAAAACGUAGUGUCAUAAAGAAUGAAGCUGGAAGAGAUGAAGGAGCAUAUGUAUUUCUGCCCGAACGCAUUCCCCACGUGUGCGUCGGCUUUUAAGUCGUUCAUACGCCUUGCACACAUGUAUAACUCGCAUUGUGUGGCUGCCGCGCCGGCUGACAUUUGAGAGAGGCAAAAGAAGUGAAAGAAGGCGCGAUAGAGAAAGAGGGAAAAAGAGAAACGGAGCUGUGAGGAGGAGAAAGAGGAGGAAAUGGCUCGCGGUAGUAGGAGGAGAAUGCAGGAGAAGGGAAGAGAGGAGUGAGAGAAAGAGAGAAUGCGCGCGGGUCGGAGCCGGGUCGGAGGGAUCGAGAGGGUCAGAGGUCACGGGUCGUACGGCAUAGCCCUGACCUUCGACCUUAUCCCCCCUUUCAGCUUCUCUCUCGAGACCCCGUGCAGACCACUACCAAGCAUACCUAGAGCCCCGACUCUACUUCGUGACCGACUCGAGUGCGAGAGGCUCUCGCAACGAACGAGAGUCGUCACGGUCCGGGAAAGAUUCGAGCGAAUUUUCGGACGGGCUCUCCGCGUGUUCUCGUUGCGCGAGUGCGUCUGUGUGCCUGUCACGACAUGUUGCCGGUGUUUCGCGAGUGCAAUCUGCCGCAGACGAGGUGCGUCCGCGCGUUCCGAAUGUGAAACUGAAAAAUAAUUCAACUUCCGCGCUUUUGAACGGGACGGUCAAAAGAUACAGAUGCUGAUCCGAGAAAAACGGCUAUUCUGACGGCGGAAGGUCUUUCUCGUGUCAUUUCGGUGAGUAUUUUAUCUUUGAAAUUGUACGCAACAAAUAUCGUUACGCACUCCAUAUAAAUUCUCCACUCCACAUAAAUUUAUUGCAUUUGUCACUGGUGCGCAGUUUCUUCCGCGAUAAUUCGUCGCGAUAACCCGUGCGCAUUCGACGUAAUCGCAAAGUAGUGUAAUAACCGUCGCUUCUCGAAUGUCGGAAGUGAAAAAUCAUCGUCCCACUGGUUCUACGCGAUUAUGCGUAGGCCAGGGACCAAGUCAACUCUACGCACCGUGCGUGUAUCGGGCGUAUCUAUCGGGCCGAGGUCUACGCGGCGCUAUACGCGCGUAGCGAAGUGAUUAGGGCUUAACGAUUAUUCGCGGUCCCGCGGUGAAGUUAACCGGUCGUAGAAGUAAUAACGCCGGACAAUCUGGUCCGGCAAUCAAUGUGUACGUGUUUAUGUAAAUUGAACGAGUCGAGACACGAACCACGCGAGCGACUUUUGCUAUGCGGUUGCAUCUUGGGCGCCGCGUCAGAGUUAGACGAUUCUUUUAUUAUUAACCGGCGAGGAGGAAAGUGGGAGAAAGAGAGACCACGCGGAAUCGAACGCGAUCAUCUUCAAUUGCGACAGACGACAUUUCGUGUCAUUUCAAAUUGCAUUUUCCUUAUUAGUCGCGCGCAAACGCGACUUUUUUUCUCUCUAUAUCAAUCACAUGUAACGAGCUACACGUGAUAGUCCCUUAUAGACUUCGUAAAACGUUCAGGUUUUCUUUCUUUUCUCUCUCUCUCUUUUUUUUUUUUGAAGGAAUGUAAAGAAUGAAAAAUUUGCGGUACGAGCCAUGACGGAUGGGCAAUUAGGGUCCUGUAAACGUUGACUACUUGUAACGUACUGGCCGCCCGUACAACUGAAAAACGCGCUUUUAAUGUUAGCGAACGGCUGACAAUCCGGUAGUUAUAACUCUUCUUGAUCGACGAUUACUUGUAGUAAAUUGCCGAGGUGAAGCGGCCUCCCUCUCCUCGGCGGGAAGAUAUCGUGUUUGCGCUACACAACGGGCAAAUGUAAAGUAGAAUAAUUGUAGUCAUUAUUUUGUUAAACAAGGUUUUGCCAACGCCAUUCUCGUGCCGAUAAACGCGACGCUAUAAAAUUUUUAGUACGCACGAGCGCGACCGUUAUUGGUACGUUUGCACACGGGGAUUUUAAGACACUACCGAUCGUUAACGACGGAAAAUUGCAGCACCCGUGGCAUUUGUUUGUCUUAUCCGCUGCCGAGCUUACGUUUGCCGUGCGCUGCGCGUAGCCAGAACGCGCAUUGUAGGAGCGCCCGUAGUAAUAAUAGGUAUCGCCAGCUGUACAUGGAAAUUGCGGGUACUUUUCUCGUUACUCCUCAAAUUCACAUUGAUGCUUGCUGAAAUCUCAGGAUUGGCAGAUCGAAAGACGCAUUGCAGUCGCGUUAGCGGCACAAAGCGUCGCAGUAAACGUUUAUUAGUUUCAAAUGACGUAUUUUUGCACUUUCAAUGGGGAAUUAGGAUCAACUUGAUACUUUAUAUCGCGAAUACGUAUAUCGAUAUACAAAAUUAUCCAGUCGACUGGAGUACGUUCAACUUUUUUUCAUAUUGUAACAUUUACCUUUAUUUCUCAACAGUUAUUUACUUAUCGAUAUCGAGUGUAAUAAUUU
This 4428-nucleotide long non-coding RNA is filed under the name Monomorium pharaonis (pharaoh ant). RNAcentral describes it as "uncharacterized LOC118647824". The record is from RNAcentral. Lineage: Eukaryota; Metazoa; Arthropoda; Insecta; Hymenoptera; Formicidae.